GCCAGGCGCACCAGUGCAUGCCUGUAAUCCCAGUGGCUCAGGAGGCUGAGGCAGGAGGAUCACGAGUUCAAAGCCAGCUUCAGCAAAAGUGAGGUGCUAAACAACUCAGUGAUACCCUGUCUCUA
Molecule: small RNA, 125 nt
Filed under: Marmota monax (woodchuck)
Lineage: Eukaryota; Metazoa; Chordata; Mammalia; Rodentia; Sciuridae
Source: RNAcentral